Non-coding RNA from Xiphophorus maculatus (southern platyfish), 431 nucleotides. The record is from the annotation of a RefSeq genome assembly. NCBI's taxonomy places the organism in Eukaryota, Metazoa, Chordata, Actinopteri, Cyprinodontiformes, Poeciliidae.
UCCAUCAGAUCACCUUCAACACCAACAUGUUCUCUGUAGCUCUGCUGCUGCUUCUGGCUGCUGCAUCCUAUGUGAAGUGUGAACAACUGACACAACCAGCUGCAAUGACUGUGCAGCCGGGUCAACGUCUGACCAUCAGAUGUCAGGUCUCUUAUGAUCUGAGUGCCUGGACAGCUUUUAUCAGACAAGCUGCUGGGAAAGGACUGGAGUGGAUUGGGGAGAAUGAUAGUUAUGGAAAUUUACACUUAAAAGAUUCGCUGACGAACAAGUUCAGUAUUGACGUAGACACCAGCAGCAAAACAGUGACUCUAAAUGGACAGAAUAUGCAGCCUGAAGACUCUGCUGUGUAUUACUGUGCCAGGCAGGACACAGUGACACAAACAAGCAGCAGAGCUGUACAAAAACCCCUCACACCUGAACUGAUGCUUUAG